AUUGUUCUUAAAUGAGUCACAUAAAGCAUUUGAAACUGCUUGCUCUUCAUAUAAUUAUGUCUGCAAUUGCACAUACCACAUAUUCAGGUAGGAAAAGCCAAAUUUAAAAAUAUUGAAUAAAAAAAAAAGUCAAGAAAGUUUCUUUACCUGAUAAAUUAGCCCUGAGUAGUGACUUUGUGUAAGCUUUCACCAGUUACAGAGUCAUUGUUACAGAAGAUGACAUAUAUGUAGCAUAAAAAUACUAAUUAAGGUUAAAAUGGAAAAAAUUAAUAAUGGUGAAAAUCUCAAUCCUGCAGGAAUGAGAGUGGACUAAUAAUGGACUAUGUAUCAUUGCUUAAUAUAUAUAAAAUGCUUUUUUUCAUUUAUUGCUUUCCUUUUUUAUACUGUGGGCUUUUGAAGAAAAAUAAUCUGCUUUUAAAUCUUUGUAUCUUUAGCACUUAGCAUAUUGCCUCAGAGAUGUAAGUGAAUAAUCAUUGAUUUUGAGUAAAUUGAAUGUCAGAACAAGUGUUGUAACUUAUGAACUUGUUACUCUAAUAUCUGCAUUGCCUCUUGGAUAAAACAUUAUGAUCUGUGAUUGUGGACU
RNAcentral lists this long non-coding RNA (583 nucleotides) under Homo sapiens (human). Its description in RNAcentral is "HSALNT0073503". Lineage: Eukaryota; Metazoa; Chordata; Mammalia; Primates; Hominidae. The record is from RNAcentral.